RNAcentral lists this long non-coding RNA (239 nucleotides) under Ananas comosus (pineapple). RNAcentral's name for it is "long non-coding RNA (ACOM_LNC003588)". Lineage: Eukaryota; Viridiplantae; Streptophyta; Magnoliopsida; Poales; Bromeliaceae. The record is from RNAcentral.
UACAUUAGCUAUAUUCUCACCGCUUUCUAUAUUAUGAUUUGGAGAGUUUAAUAAAGAAAACGAUUGAAAAAGUACCAAACUCUAUUGAACACAACGAUAAAGGACAUAUCGCUUGGGAAAAUGAUGUCUACUCCGUAUUUGGGGAGGAGGGGCGGAUAAGUGCAUGGAUUGGGACUUGGUCCAACGCCUACUAGCUUGUGGGUUUCUGGUUCCUUAUAUCAGUCGGCUUCGAAUAAUUU